Molecule: ribosomal RNA, 320 nt
Filed under: uncultured bacterium
Lineage: Bacteria
Description: bacterial SSU rRNA
Rfam family: Bacterial small subunit ribosomal RNA
Source: RNAcentral
AACGAACGCUGGCGGCGCGCCUAACACAUGCAAGUCGCACGUGAAAGAGGGCAACCUUGAGUAAAGUGGCGCACGGGUGAGUAACGCGUAGGUAAUCUCCCUCUGUAACUGGAAUAACCAGCCGAAAGGUUGGCUAAUACUGGAUAGCGCGCAUAACUCUUAAGGAGUUGUGCGGGAAAGGGUGGCGUAGCAAUACGCUAUUGUACGGAGAUGAGCCUGCGUCCCAUCAGCUAGUUGGUAAGGUAAUGGCUUACCAAGGCUAUGACGGGUAACUGGUCUGAGAGGACGAUCAGCCACACUGGAACUGAAACACGGUCCAG